This 466-nucleotide ribosomal RNA is filed under the name uncultured bacterium. RNAcentral's name for it is "bacterial SSU rRNA". It matches the Rfam family "Bacterial small subunit ribosomal RNA", at positions 331 to 792 of the family's 1533-position model. The record is from RNAcentral.
CCAGACUCCUACGGGAGGCAGCAGUGAGGAAUAUUGGUCAAUGGCCGGAAGGCUGAACCAGCCAAGUCGCGUGAGGGAAUAAGGCCCUAUGGGUCGUAAACCUCUUUUGUCAGGGAGCAAAGGCGUCCACGUGUGGACGAGAGGAGAGUACCUGAAGAAAAAGCAUCGGCUAACUCCGUGCCAGCAGCCGCGGUAAUACGGGGGAUGCAAGCGUUAUCCGGAUUUAUUGGGUUUAAAGGGUGCGUAGGCUGUGAGGUAAGUCAGCGGUGAAAUGCCCCCGCUCAACGGGGUGAAGUGCCAUUGAUACUGCCUUGCUGGAAUGCGGAUGCCGUGGGAGGAAUGUGUGGUGUAGCGGUGAAAUGCAUAGAUAUCACGCAGAACUCCGAUUGCGAAGGCAGCAUACCGGCGCUCAACUGACGCUCAUGCACGAAAGCGUGGGUAUCGAACAGGAUUAGAUACCCUGGUA